This 1350-nucleotide ribosomal RNA is filed under the name metagenome. Its description in RNAcentral is "bacterial LSU rRNA". It matches the Rfam family "Bacterial large subunit ribosomal RNA", at positions 1564 to 2925 of the family's 2925-position model. The record is from RNAcentral.
UGAGUGCGAGCUGCUACGGCAGCGAAGUUGGUGACGUCAAGCUUCCAAGAAAAGCCCUAUACCCGUUAAGGCAUCAUGGCCUGUACCCGAAACCGACACAGGUGGGGUGGUAGAGAAUACCGAGGGGCGCGAGGUAACUCUCUCUAAGGAACUCGGCAAAAUGGCCCCGUAACUUCGGGAGAAGGGGUGCCACCGCAAGGUGGUCGCAGUGAAGAGGCCCAGGCGACUGUUUACCAAAAACACAGGUCUCCGCUAAGUCGCAAGACGAUGUAUGGGGGCUGACGCCUGCCCAGUGCCGGAAGGUUAAGGAAGCUGGUCAGCGCAAGCGAAGCUGGCGACUGAAGCCCCGGUGAACGGCGGCCGUAACUAUAACGGUCCUAAGGUAGCGAAAUUCCUUGUCGGGUAAGUUCCGACCCGCACGAAAGGCGUAACGAUCUGGGCGCUGUCUCGGAGAGAGGCUCGGCGAAAUAGAAUUGUCUGUGAAGAUGCGGACUACGUGCACCCGGACAGAAAGACCCUAUGAAGCUUUACUGUAGCUUGGUAUUGUGCCCGGGCUCUGAAUGCGCAGGAUAGGUGGGAGGCUUUGAUCAUCGGCUUGCGGGUCGAUGUGAGCCAACGGUGAGAUACCACUCUUUCAGAGCUAGGGUUCUAACAGUCACCCGUUAUCCGGGGACUGGACAGUAUCAGGUGGGCAGUUUGACUGGGGCGGUCGCCCCCUAAAAGGUAACGGAGGCGCGCAAAGGUCUGCUCAGGCUGGUUGGAAAUCAGCCGACGAGUGUAAAAGCAGAAGCAGGCUUGACUGUGAGACCUACAAGUCGAACAGGGAGGAAACUCGGCUUUAGUGAUCCGACGGUUCUGCGUGGAAGGGCCGUCGCUCAACGGAUAAAAGUUACUCUAGGAUAACAGGCUGAUCUCCCCCAAGAGUUCACAUCGACGGGGAGGUUUGGCACCUCGAUGUCGGCUCAUCGCAACCUGGGGCUGAAGUCGGUCCCAAGGGUUGGGCUGUUCGCCCAUUAAAGCGGUACGCGAGCUGGGUUCAGAACGUCGUGAGACAGUUCGGUCCAUAUCCGGUGCAUGCGCAGGAAUAUUGAGAGGAGUUCUCCCUAGUACGAGAGGACCGGGAGGAACGCACCUCUGGUGUACCAGUUAUCGUGCCAACGGUAAACGCUGGGUAGCCAUGUGCGGAGAGGAUAACCGCUGAAAGCAUCUAAGUGGGAAGCCCACCUCAAGAUGAGUAUUCCCAUGGCGUUAGCCAGUAAGGUCACGGGAAGAACACCCGUUGAUAGGCUCUAUGUGGAAGCGCAGUAAUGCGUGAAGCAGAGGAGUACUAAUAGACCGAGGGCUUGACCC